AGAUUGUCGAGUACAAGGUUGUCGAGUUUAGGUGCAGAACACAAAAAUAUAGUUUCUAUAACAAGAUUGUUUACAAAAAACACAUAUAAAAAUAGUCUUUUUUUUGAAACAGUAGGUGGUUUAUAUAAUUAUUAUUACCUAUAUAAAAUCUGAACCCAUUUGCUGAAACAUUAGCAUUUUGGGCACCGUAGAUGGUGCACUUGCUUCCAAUAAAAAAUUGACGCGUUACUCUUUUGCACUGUAGAUGGGUGAUGCUGCGCAUUAGGUCUCCCGCGGAUGUUAGUUUCGUCGUUUUAUUUUUACGUGUUAAAUUCUCUUCCACCGCUUCUUGCCGGUGAUUUUCUAUUUUACAUCCGGUUGCUUCCGGUUUCUCAUGCCUUCUCGUAUUUAUUUACUACACGGUUCCCAGUUUCCCGGUCGCCAGUUAUUGUGCCGCUUCUACCUAUCUCGAGGCGUACUCUUCCGCCUCUUUACGGCCACGUGCCGUGACCCUGGCUUUCCACCGCAGGAGCUUCUCUCCAGAAAUCCAAAUUGUUCUUUUCUCUUGCCCAGAUCUUCCAUCGACAGCUCCACCUCUAUCUAUCCAAAAAUAUAUCUCCAUCUCCAUUGGAUCUCCUAGCUGGGCUCUUCACCACCUACCUGAAACACAGGAGCCCCUACCCGUCGGCCUGCCCCUGUUCAGCGGCCAUGCCUAGGUUCAGUCCUCUCAAGCGUUGCGCCCGACACCGACGCGCUCCGGUUCCCGGUGCAGCUGCUCGCCUGAACAGUGGCCACUAGGCCCACUAUGGUACUGGUACAUGGUGGCGCAUGGCCGCAAUCCCGCACGUGCGAGCGGCAGCGACCGUGGAGUGCAGCGGCGGACCGAGCUCCGCCUUCCACACCCUGUCGCGGCCCUGGAUCCUCCGAGCUUGGGGCACGCGAGGUGGCGUGGCUCAACGGGCGGUCUCAUGUUCUCUGACGGCAACGGCCGAGGAGGACGUCCUCCUGCAGCCGUAUCCCACCUCUCCCCUGUCAACAUCUAGCUUCAGCCGGUUAUCCUCCUCCUCAUUCCUCAGCUCGGUAUCCACCGCCGGGAGUCAUCUACUAUUCUGCGCGAUUUCCUCGCACCUCCCAAGUCCGUCGCCCUGCAGCCUCCGGUCAGACUCGAUGCAGAUGACAUCCGCCGCCGCGUCCUGCUCAGCUGCUCGCCUUGGUUACAGAGAAAACUGCGGUGGCCACCACGAGGUCGAGGGAGAUGGCGACCACGCGCUCUGACGGUGGCCUACUCCACCUCGCCGCCCCUGCCCCGUGGACAGCGUCCUCAACGCCCAGGUGUCAUCUCCUAUGGGCCGGCACCCUCGAGCCAUCCCUGAUGCAGCGGAGCCAUCGACGUGAGACUUUCAGGUGUUUUCCUCUUGGUACCAUUGCUGAUCGGUUCGUCCGUGUGUCCGAGUAACGCCAACGGCCGCGCAGAGCCCCGUCGUCUGAUGUGCAGCGGAGGCGGCCCGGAGAGAUCGGUUCUUCUCCUGGUUUGUCGGCCCUGUUCACGUGUCGCCGGUGUGCUGCUCCACGGGAGACUGACGCUAGGGGCAGUAUUGCGCAGGCAGCGACGCAUCGUGGGUCCGUUGUUUUGGCCCCCGAUGCCAGCACUACAACUGCCUGCUCCGGCUUUUUGAGAGUGGCCUUGACUGGGAGCCGCCCCACCACCGCCGGGAAGGCGACGAGGACGCUCAUGAAGGAUUGCCGUCUUGCCGAUGUGUGUCUCCUCGUGCUUCAAGACGGAAGCAUAGUCUGGAUCUCAUUGGUGGUGGUUUUAGAUGCCAGGGUGCCAAUUUCUUUUGUGCAAAUGAGAAUCUGUGUAUGUUUGACAGGAGGUCAACUGCAUCUUUAUUUUGGUUGAGUUUUUGCAAGAUCACAGGUAAUCGCAUAAUUGUUUUUUUUUUCUAUAGCUCAGUAGUAUUAGUCAUGGGAAGCGAUUCUUCCAUUUUGUUUCAGAAAACAAAGUUAGACAUGUUCAUUGCACUGAUUUCUGAAUAGUAGUAUCUUUUCCGCUUGGGAUUUCCUAAUUCAACAACUAUGUGUGGCCUCCUGCUUUGGCAACAAAUAAAUGGAUCAACCUCCAUGACUCAUCCAUCAAAUGACACUCUAAAACCACCACAAAAUACCAGGAUUUCAGCCGCCACAUCUUCCGAGGACACUAUAGUGAUGGUCUAUUCAGAACUGGGUGAUGUAAACACAUACAAAUUCUAUCUAGGUGUGCAAAAACUGACAUCAAUAUAUCAUCUUAUGUAUUACCAUUCUUUAUAUGCAACGAAACAAACAGAACACUUGACACCAGGAAAAUGAACUCGAGAACAGCUGCUGCACCAGCCAAAAAAAGGUCUACUUUUGAAUCAGCUUCAUUCUUGCGAAGUUGUACUAGCAGCUCAGUGUAUACUCAUUGUCUACAAUCCAACCAAUGAGAAAAAACAAAUCUAAGGAAUUGUGACCAUCCAAAUAGGUAACUACGCCUUGCCAGGUAAAAGAUAUGUUUCAGUAAAUGGUAUAGGUCACAGUAUUUUGACGAAAUGCAGCUUGACUGCUUUCAUUGCGCUUAGAAGAGGGAAAAGUACAAACGGAAGGAGACCUUCCUCAGGUACCAAGUUAGGCCAAAGAAGCCUGGUCACAGUAAAGCAAAUAACAUUAAUUCAAUGCUCUUUUCCUUGCAGCAGAUAUAAGAGUUCGAGAAUGGCACGCAGGCACUGUAAUAUUAGGUACCUUAUAAAACUACUGCUCAGUAUAUGACAUAGGCCAUGUUAUUAUUAGGUGGCGGUUCACGGCAUGGUUUGGGGAGUUCCAUGCAUCGAGCAAAAGCAAGUGACCCCC
Molecule: non-coding RNA, 2844 nt
Organism: Lolium perenne
Lineage: Eukaryota; Viridiplantae; Streptophyta; Magnoliopsida; Poales; Poaceae
Source: RefSeq, a predicted model, not a curated record